GGCUGAGUGGAGCAGCCAAAAAAAAAAAAAAAGGAAUGAUACAGAGAAGAUUAGCAUGGCUCCUAUGUAAGAAUGACAUGCAAAUUCGUGAAAGAAAUUGUGUAUUU
This is a small nuclear RNA of Hippopotamus amphibius kiboko, 107 nucleotides long. NCBI's taxonomy places the organism in Eukaryota, Metazoa, Chordata, Mammalia, Artiodactyla, Hippopotamidae. The record is from RefSeq and is a predicted model, not a curated record.